This 497-nucleotide ribosomal RNA is filed under the name uncultured bacterium. RNAcentral describes it as "partial 16S ribosomal RNA". It matches the Rfam family "Bacterial small subunit ribosomal RNA", at positions 28 to 507 of the family's 1533-position model. The record is from RNAcentral.
GAUGAACGCUGGCGGCGUGCCUAAUACAUGCAAGUCGAGCGAACAGACGAGGAGCUUGCUGCUUCGACGUUAGCGGCGGACGGGUGAGUAACACGUAGGUAACCUACCUAUAAGACUGGGAUAACCUCGGGAAACCGGAGCUAAUACCGGAUAAUAUUUCGAACCGCAUGGUUCGAUAGUGAAAGAUGGCUUUGCUAUCACUUAUAGAUGGACCUGCGCCGUAUUAGCUAGUUGGUAAGGUAACGGCUUACCAAGGCAACGAUACGUAGCCGACCUGAGAGGGUGAUCGGCCACACUGGAACUGAGACACGGUCCAGACUCCUACGGGAGGCAGCAGUAGGGAAUCUUCCGCAAUGGGCGAAAGCCUGACGGAGCAACGCCGCGUGAGUGAUGAAGGUCUUCGGAUCGUAAAACUCUGUUAUUAGGGAAGAACAAACGUGUAAGUAACUGUGCACGUCUUGACGGUACCUAAUCAGAAAGCCACGGCUAACUACGUG